Molecule: non-coding RNA, 73 nt
Organism: Trichonephila inaurata madagascariensis
Lineage: Eukaryota; Metazoa; Arthropoda; Arachnida; Araneae; Nephilidae
Source: the annotation of a GenBank genome assembly
GUCCCUGUAGUGCACUGCAUAGCACGUUGGACUUCUAAUCCAAAGGUGGUGGGAUCGAAUCCCACCCGGUAUG